RNAcentral lists this ribosomal RNA (572 nucleotides) under Shigella sonnei. RNAcentral's name for it is "partial 23S ribosomal RNA". It matches the Rfam family "Bacterial large subunit ribosomal RNA", at positions 343 to 920 of the family's 2925-position model. The record is from RNAcentral. Lineage: Bacteria; Pseudomonadati; Pseudomonadota; Gammaproteobacteria; Enterobacterales; Enterobacteriaceae.
UGGAAAGGCGUGCGAUACAGGGUGACAGCCCCGUACACAAAAAUGCACAUAUUGUGAGCUUGAUGAGUAGGGCGGGACACGUGGUAUCCUGUCUGAAUAUGGGGGGACCAUCCUCCAAGGCUAAAUACUCCUGACUGACCGAUAGUGAACCAGUACCGUGAGGGAAAGGCGAAAAGAACCCCGGCGAGGGGAGUGAAAAAGAACCUGAAACCGUGUACGUACAAGCAGUGGGAGCACGCUUAGGCGUGUGACUGCGUACCUUUUGUAUAAUGGGUCAGCGACUUAUAUUCUGUAGCAAGGUUAACCGAAUAGGGGAGCCGAAGGGAAACCGAGUCUUAACUGGGCGUUAAGUUGCAGGGUAUAGACCCGAAACCCGGUGAUCUAGCCAUGGGCAGGUUGAAGGUUGGGUAACACUAACUGGAGGACCGAACCGACUAAUGUUGAAAAAUUAGCGGAUGACUUGUGGCUGGGGGUGAAAGGCCAAUCAAACCGGGAGAUAGCUGGUUCUCCCCGAAAGCUAUUUAGGUAGCGCCUCGUGAAUUCAUCUCCGGGGGUAGAGCACUGUUUCGGCA